AUUGAACGCUGGCGGCAUGCCUAACACAUGCAAGUCGAACGGCAGCACGGCAGUAGCAAUACUGUGGGUGGCGAGUGGCGGACGGGUGAGGAAUACGUCGGAAUCUGCCCAAUCGUGGGGGAUAACUAACCGAAAGGUUAGCUAAUACCGCAUACGACCGAGAGGUGAAAGCGGGGGGACCGCAAGGCCUCGCGCGAUUGGAUGAGCCGACGUCGGAUUAGCUUGUUGGUGGGGUAAAGGCCUACCAAGGCAACGAUCCGUAGCUGGUCUGAGAGGAUGAUCAGCCACACUGGAACUGAGACACGGUCCAGACUCCUACGGGAGGCAGCAGUGGGGAAUUUUGGACAAUGGGCGCAAGCCUGAUCCAGCCAUGCCGCGUGAGUGAAGAAGGCCUCGGUU
Molecule: ribosomal RNA, 399 nt
Filed under: uncultured bacterium
Lineage: Bacteria
Description: bacterial SSU rRNA
Rfam family: Bacterial small subunit ribosomal RNA
Source: RNAcentral